UGCCGGCGACCGGCGGACGGGUGCGUAACGCGUAUGUAACCUACCUUUGACAGGGGGAUAACAUCGAGAAAUUGGUACCAAUACCCCAUAACAUCACCGGAGGCAUCUUCGGUGGUUGAAAACUCAGGUGGUCAGAGAUGGACAUGCGUUGUAUUAGCUAGUUGGUGAGGUAACGGCUCACCAAGGCGACGAUACAUAGGGGGACUGAGAGGUCAACCCCCCACAUUGGUACUGAGACACGGACCAAACUCCUACGGGAGGCAGCAG
RNAcentral lists this ribosomal RNA (267 nucleotides) under uncultured bacterium. RNAcentral's name for it is "partial 16S ribosomal RNA". It matches the Rfam family "Bacterial small subunit ribosomal RNA", at positions 86 to 354 of the family's 1533-position model. The record is from RNAcentral.